UGGGGAAUCUUGCGCAAUGGGCGAAAGCCUGACGCAGCCAUGCCGCGUGAAUGAUGAAGGUCUUAGGAUUGUAAAAUUCUUUCACCGGGGACGAUAAUGACGGUACCCGGAGAAGAAGCCCCGGCUAACUUCGUGCCAGCAGCCGCGGUAAUACGAAGGGGGCUAGCGUUGCUCGGAAUUACUGGGCGUAAAGGGCGCGUAGGCGGAUCGUUAAGUCAGAGGUGAAAUCCCGGAGCUCAACUUCGGAACUGCCCUUGAUACUGGCGAUCUUGAGUAUGAGAGAGGUAUGUGGAACUCCGAGUGUAGAGGUGAAAUUCGUAGAUAUUCGGAAGAACACCAGUGGCGAAGGCGACAUACUGGCUCAUUACUGACGCUGAGGCGCGAAAGCGUGGGGAGCAAACA
This 402-nucleotide ribosomal RNA is filed under the name uncultured Brevundimonas sp. RNAcentral's name for it is "bacterial SSU rRNA". It matches the Rfam family "Bacterial small subunit ribosomal RNA", at positions 355 to 774 of the family's 1533-position model. The record is from RNAcentral. Lineage: Bacteria; Pseudomonadati; Pseudomonadota; Alphaproteobacteria; Caulobacterales; Caulobacteraceae.